GACGAACGCUGGCGGCGUGCUUAACACAUGCAAGUCGAACGGAAAGGCCCUGCUUUUGUGGGGCGCUCGAGUGGCGAACGGGUGAGUAACACGUGAGUAACCUGCCCUUGACUUUGGGAUAACUUCAGGAAACUGGGGCUAAUACCGGAUAGGAGCUCCUGCUGCAUGGUGGGGGUUGGAAAGUUUCGGCGGUUGGGGAUGGACUCGCGGCUUAUCAGCUUGUUGGUGGGGUAGUGGCUUACCAAGGCUUUGACGGGUAGCCGGCCUGAGAGGGUGACCGGCCACAUUGGGACUGAGAUACGGCCCAGACUCCUACGGGAGGCAGCAGUGGGGAAUAUUGCACAAUGGGCGGAAGCCUGAUGCAGCAACGCCGCGUGCGGGAUGACGGCCUUCGGGUUGUAAACCGCUUUCGCCUGUGACGAAGCGUGAGUGACGGUAAUGGGUAAAGAAGCACCGGCUAACUACGUGCCAGCAGCCGCGGUGAUACGUAGGGUGCGAGCGUUGUCCGGAUUUAUUGGGCGUAAAGGGCUCGUAGGUGGUUGAUCGCGUCGGAAGUGUAAUCUUGGGGCUUAACCCUGAGCGUGCUUUCGAUACGGGUUGACUUGAGGAAGGUAGGGGAGAAUGGAAUUCCUGGUGGAGCGGUGGAAUGCGCAGAUAUCAGGAGGAACACCAGUGGCGAAGGCGGUUCUCUGGGCCUUUCCUGACGCUGAGGAGCGAAAGCGUGGGGAGCGAACAGGCUUAGAUACCCUGGUAGUCCACGCUGUAAACGGUGGGUACUAGGUGUGGGGUCCAUUCCACGGGUUCCGUGCCGUAGCUAACGCUUUAAGUACCCCGCCUGGGGAGUACGGCCGCAAGGCUAAAACUCAAAGGAAUUGACGGGGCCCCGCACAAGCGGCGGAGCAUGCGGAUUAAUUCGAUGCAACGCGUAGAACCUUACCUGGGUUUGACAUGGAUCGGGAGCGCUCAGAGAUGGGUGUGCCUCUUUUGGGGUCGGUUCACAGGUGGUGCAUGGCUGUCGUCAGCUCGUGUCGUGAGAUGUUGGGUUAAGUCCCGCAACGAGCGCAACCCUUGUUCACUGUUGCCAGCACGUUAUGGUGGGGACUCAGUGGAGACCGCCGGGGUCAACUCGGAGGAAGGUGGGGAUGACGUCAAGUCAUCAUGCCCCUUAUGUCCAGGGCUUCACGCAUGCUACAAUGGCUGGUACAGAGAGUGGCGAGCCUGUGAGGGUGAGCGAAUCUCGGAAAGCCGGUCUCAGUUCGGAUUGGGGUCUGCAACUCGACCUCAUGAAGUCGGAGUCGCUAGUAAUCGCAGAUCAGCAACGCUGCGGUGAAUACGUUCCCGGG
Molecule: ribosomal RNA, 1343 nt
Filed under: uncultured bacterium
Lineage: Bacteria
Description: 16S ribosomal RNA
Rfam family: Bacterial small subunit ribosomal RNA
Source: RNAcentral